AGGUAAUUGCCCUCAGUAACGGCGAGUGAAGCGGCAAAAGCUCAAAUUUGAAAUCUGGCACCUUCGGUGUCCGAGUUGUAAUUUGAAGAAGGUAACUUUGGAGUUGGCUCUUGUCUAUGUUCCUUGGAACAGGACGUCACAGAGGGUGAGAAUCCCGUGCGAUGAGAUGCCCAAUUCUAUGUAAAGUGCUUUCGAAGAGUCGAGUUGUUUGGGAAUGCAGCUCUAAGUGGGUGGUAAAUUCCAUCUAAAGCUAAAUAUUGGCGAGAGACCGAUAGCGAACAAGUACAGUGAUGGAAAGAUGAAAAGAACUUUGAAAAGAGAGUGAAAAAGUACGUGAAAUUGUUGAAAGGGAAGGGCUUGAGAUCAGACUUGGUAUUUUGCAAGCCUUACCUUCGUGGUGGGGUCCCCUGCAGUUUACUGGGCCAGCAUCGGUUUGGAUGGUGGGAUAAUGACUUGGGAAUGUGGCUUUGCUUCGGUAAAGUGUUAUAGCCCUUGUUGAUACCGCCUGUCUAGACCGAGGACUGCGUCUUUGACUAGGAUGUUGGCUAAGAUCUUAAGUCGCCCGUCUUGAAMCMMCGGACCMA
RNAcentral lists this ribosomal RNA (584 nucleotides) under Schwanniomyces capriottii. RNAcentral describes it as "LSU rRNA". It matches the Rfam family "Eukaryotic large subunit ribosomal RNA", at positions 69 to 669 of the family's 3401-position model. The record is from RNAcentral. Lineage: Eukaryota; Fungi; Ascomycota; Pichiomycetes; Serinales; Debaryomycetaceae.